CCUACGGGGUGCUGCAGUGGGGAAUAUUGGACAAUGGGCGAAAGCCUGAUCCAGCCAUGCCGCGUGUGUGAAGAAGGCCUUCGGGUUGUAAAGCACUUUCAGUGGGGAAGAAAGCCUUGGGGCUAAUACCCUCGAGGAAGGACAUCACCCACAGAAGAAGCACCGGCUAACUCCGUGCCAGCAGCCGCGGUAAUACGGAGGGUGCGAGCGUUAAUCGGAAUUACUGGGCGUAAAGCGCGCGUAGGCGGUCUGAUAAGCCGGUUGUGAAAGCCCCGGGCUCAACCUGGGAACGGCAUCCGGAACUGUCAGGCUAGAGUGCAUGAGAGGAAGGUAGAAUUCCCGGUGUAGCGGUGAAAUGCGUAGAGAUCGGGAGGAAUACCAGUGGCGAAGGCGGCCUUCUGGACUGACACUGACGCUGAGGUGCGAAAGCGUGGGUAGCAAACAGGAUUAGAUACCCGGGUAGUC
This 465-nucleotide ribosomal RNA is filed under the name Vreelandella stevensii. Its description in RNAcentral is "partial 16S ribosomal RNA". It matches the Rfam family "Bacterial small subunit ribosomal RNA", at positions 338 to 795 of the family's 1533-position model. The record is from RNAcentral. Lineage: Bacteria; Pseudomonadati; Pseudomonadota; Gammaproteobacteria; Oceanospirillales; Halomonadaceae.